GUACUACUCGAGUAGUACAUACACUAAAAUUGGAACGAUACAGAGAAGAUUAGCAUGGCCCCUGGCGCAAGGAUGACACGCACAAUCGUGAAGCGUUCCAAAUUUUU
Pomacea canaliculata is the source of this 107-nucleotide small nuclear RNA. Lineage: Eukaryota; Metazoa; Mollusca; Gastropoda; Architaenioglossa; Ampullariidae. The record is from RefSeq and is a predicted model, not a curated record.